RNAcentral lists this ribosomal RNA (247 nucleotides) under uncultured bacterium. RNAcentral describes it as "partial 16S ribosomal RNA". It matches the Rfam family "Bacterial small subunit ribosomal RNA", at positions 523 to 769 of the family's 1533-position model. The record is from RNAcentral.
AUACGGAGGAUGCGAGCGUUAUCCGGAUUUAUUGGGUUUAAAGGGUGCGUAGGCGGGCUGAUAAGUCAGUGGUGAAAGUUUGCAGCUUAACUGUAAAAUUGCCAUUGAAACUGUUAGUCUUGAGUGCAAAUGAGGUAGGCGGAAUGUGUUGUGUAGCGGUGAAAUGCUUAGAUAUAACACAGAACUCCGAUUGCGAAGGCAGCUUACUGGGAUGCAACUGACGCUGAUGCACGAAAGCGUGGGUAUC